This 845-nucleotide long non-coding RNA is filed under the name Zostera marina. Its description in RNAcentral is "long non-coding RNA (ZMAR_LNC002678)". The record is from RNAcentral. Lineage: Eukaryota; Viridiplantae; Streptophyta; Magnoliopsida; Alismatales; Zosteraceae.
GGCAAUAACAAAACAAUUCUUAAAAAUACGACACGAUACGUUUAUAAUAGUAUCGAAUGUUUUGACACGUUAAUAAUAUUACAUGAAACGUUAAUUGACACGAUUAUAUGACACGAUAAGUUUCGAUCCAUCACCGCUCUGACGUUUCAGAGGCGGAAUGACAUAACUCAGAACCGAAAGGUGCACAUCUCCGUUACGAAAGACAUUUAAUUUCUCUUCAUCUUCGAGUGUCAUGGGGACCUGGUUAUAUUCUGAGUGGACGUCCAUGAAGCUUAGUAGCUGAGGGCGGCGGCUAGCUGUCCUUUGGGAAGCCAUUAUUUAGGUUUGUGAAGUCCAUGCACACAAGCUAUCCUACAUUUGCUUUUCGAAACUACGUUAGCCAGCCACUUGGGGUAUCAUACAAGCUGUGUGAAGCCAACUCUUAAGAGUUUUUUUACUUCCCCGACCAUCGUUUCCCUCUUCUCGACCCUCAAUGUCCGUAAUUUCUGUCAGAUUGGUCGAGAUCCGAAGCUUGCUUCUAGAUUAUCUUCUGCUAGGGUUCUGGCCACUUCUUUAAGUUCUUUUUCGAACAGGUUUUCAUUUAUUCGCAGGAGGCUUAUUAGGCCUUUCUUCAGAUCUUGCGGAACUUGUGCCCUAAUCUGUGAUAACUUGAGACGAACGAGAGAUCGAGCGAUCAAACAGAUUGAGAAAGAAGUCUGUGAACCGUAACAAGAAAUUGGGAUUAAAUCGACGAAUGUAUCUCUUACAACCCUAUUACAUAUAUUUAUAUUAUAUAAUAUUAUAUUUCUACUUAGUCCAUUAACUUCUUAAUAUUACAAAGAAGCCCUAUAUAUUAUAUAAUCUAC